GAUGAACGCUGGCGGCGUGCCUAAUACAUGCAAGUCGAACGGGGAGUCGCAAUACUCUUAGUGGCGAACGGGUGAGUACCGCGUUGGUACCUGCCCCGAAGCGGGGGAUAACGGACCGAAAGGUCCGCUAAUACCCCAUGUGCUCGGUAACGAGUAAAGGUGAAAACCACUUUGGGAGGGGCCUGCGUCCCAUCAGCUAGUUGGUAAGGUAACGGCUUACCAAGGCGAUGACGGGUAGGGGACCUGAGAGGGUGGCCCCCCACAAUGGAACUGAAACACGGUCCAGACACCUACGGGUGGCAGCAGUAGGGAAUAUUGGGAAUGGGCGCAAGCCUGAACCAGCAACGCCGCGGGGGCGAUGACGGCCUUCGGGUUGUAAAGCACUUUUGACUGGGACGGGGAAUGACGGUACCGGGCGAAUCAGCCUCGGCUAACUACGUG
Molecule: ribosomal RNA, 441 nt
Filed under: uncultured bacterium
Lineage: Bacteria
Description: partial 16S ribosomal RNA
Rfam family: Bacterial small subunit ribosomal RNA
Source: RNAcentral